Molecule: ribosomal RNA, 253 nt
Filed under: uncultured bacterium
Lineage: Bacteria
Description: partial 16S ribosomal RNA
Rfam family: Bacterial small subunit ribosomal RNA
Source: RNAcentral
UACGAAGGGGGCUAGCGUUGCUCGGAAUUACUGGGCGUAAAGGGCGCGUAGGCGGACAGUUUAGUCAGAGGUAAAAGCCCAGGGCUCAACCUUGGAACUGCCUUUGAUACUGGCUGUCUUGAGUUCGGGAGAGGUGAGUGGAAUGCCGAGUGUAGAGGUGAAAUUCGUAGAUAUUCGCAAGAACACCAGUGGCGAAGGCGGCUCACUGGUCCGGUACUGACGCUGAGGUGCGAAAGCGUGGGGAGCGAACAGG